AUACGGAGGGUGCAAGCGUUAAUCGGAAUUACGGGGCGUAAAGCGUACGUAGGCGGUUCGUUAAGUUAGAUGUGAAAGCCCCGGGCUUAACCUGGGAACUGCAUUUAAAACUGGCGAACUAGAGUUGAGUAGAGGGGAGUGGAAUUUCAGGUGUAGCGGUGAAAUGCGUAGAGAUCUGAAGGAACACCAGUGGCGAAGGCGACUCCCUGGACUCGAACUGACGCUGAGGUGCGAAAGCGUGGGUAGCAAACGGGAUUAGAAACCCUAGUAGUCC
RNAcentral lists this ribosomal RNA (274 nucleotides) under uncultured bacterium. RNAcentral's name for it is "partial 16S ribosomal RNA". It matches the Rfam family "Bacterial small subunit ribosomal RNA", at positions 523 to 796 of the family's 1533-position model. The record is from RNAcentral.